Molecule: ribosomal RNA, 642 nt
Filed under: uncultured Acidobacteriota bacterium
Lineage: Bacteria; Pseudomonadati; Acidobacteriota
Description: bacterial SSU rRNA
Rfam family: Bacterial small subunit ribosomal RNA
Source: RNAcentral
AGAGUUUGAUCCUGGCUCAGAUUGAACGCUGGGGAGAACAACGGCCAGUCGAACGGCAGCACAGUAGAGCUUGACCAAGGGGUGGCGAGUGGCGGACGGGUGAGUAAUGCAUCGGGAUCUACCCAAACGUGGGGGAUAACGUAGGGAAACUUACGCUAAUACCGCAUACGUCCUAAGGGAGAAAGCGGGGGACCGAAAGGCCUCGCGCGGUUGGACGAACCGAUGUGCGAUUAGCUAGUUGGUGAGGUAAUGGCCCACCAAGGCAAUGAUCGGUAGCCGGCCUGAGAGGGCGCACGGCCACACUGGAACUGAAACACGGUCCAGACUCCUACGGGAGGCAGCAGUGGGGAAUUUUGCGCAAUGGGGGAAACCCUGACGCAGCAACGCCGCGUGGAGGAUGAAGCCCCUUGGGGUGUAAACUCCUUUCGAUCGGGACGAUUAUGACGGUACCGGAUGAAGAAGCACCGGCUAACUCUGUGCCAGCAGCCGCGGUAAUACAGAGGGUGCAAGCGUUGUUCGGAAUUAUUGGGCGUAAAGGGUGCGUAGGCGGUGCGGUAAGUCUCUUUGUGAAAUCUCCGGGCUCAACUCGGAGCCUGCAAAGGGAAACUGCCCGUGCUUGAGUAUGGGAGAGGUGAGUUGGAA